GGAGAGUCCAGAAACAGCACUCAGGGACUUGUCAAAUUUGCAUCAUAGAUAUCUAACCAAAGCUGGUGCCAAGUUCAAAGAUGCCAAUGGGACCACAUCUAUAGUCUGUGAAAUUUCUCCUCUUCUUUCCUAUGCUGGAGAGGGGUUAGAGAAUAAAGUUAAAGGCAAAGAAUUUUCUGCCACAGAUGAAAUUUACCUCCCAGCAGAUGGAGAAGAAAAAAUAGAAGAACCAGCGCUCAAGAGAAGUAGGGAAUGCUGAGACUGUUUUCAAAAUUGUCGCUAAAUCAUCCGACGGCCUACGACGUUCACAAAGUGAUCACAGCCAUUAGGCGGCCACUUGAAAAUCAAGCUAUUUCAUGAUUGCGUGAGUUCUCAAGUGUGGUUUCAUAGGAUCUUCCCAAUCAUCUCAAACAAAAAAAUCAAGACGAUCUGAAGUAUUUGAAAACACAACACAACUAGUUACUGUACGACCCGAACGAUCAUGAUGAUCGGAUAGAAGUAAAGAGUUCUAUCGAGACGAGUAUUUUCCCGAUGGUCCUGCGGGUCAGUGAUAGCCUAUGCUGUCUUUCUACAUAACCUUCCCGAUCGUCUGGUAGAUAACCAUUUAAGAUUUAAGAUAAUCCUUUUUAUCGGCCGAAAUCAUAACUUCAGACACUUACAGAACCACGGUGGGCUAGUUUUUAAAGGUGACCGAAGCAAAAUAUCAAGAAAUGCUUUUUGAAUUAACUUCGUGGAUGUUAUGAUUAAAAAGUCUUUGAAUCACAUGGCAAUUUGUUUUCCUUGCGCGUGAGUGAUAAUUUGUGAUGAUAGUUUAUUGAGCACUUGAGGAAUUUCCGACGCAUAAAAUGCGUGAAAGUCGUUAAGGUAUUGGUUAACUGUAUUUUUGAUUGAAGUAAGAGCAAUGAUGUUGCUAUUGCAGGUAGAUAAGAUAUCUGAAAAUAGUUCAGAAAUUCUGAUACAUAUUUUAAAGUAUGAACAAUAUUGAUCAAUAUGAAUGUUCUGGGAACUUAGCAACCGAAAGUUUAAUCGGGAAGCAUUUGUAUGGAUGAUUAUUGUGAGAGCUGAGGCUUAACAGAUACAGUGAAGGUGCAAUCAUUUGCUGUCUGCUUUUAGUAUUUUUGUUCAAAGUGAUAUAAUUGUAAUGUGAAUGAAAGAUUUUCGCCAUUUUCCUAUUGACUGAAACGAUGUGAGGAAUGGUAUUUUAAUGAAAAUGAA
Molecule: long non-coding RNA, 1215 nt
Organism: Pocillopora verrucosa
Lineage: Eukaryota; Metazoa; Cnidaria; Anthozoa; Scleractinia; Pocilloporidae
Source: RefSeq, a predicted model, not a curated record